CCUACGGGUGGCUGCAGUGGGGAAUAUUGGACAAUGGGCGAAAGCCUGAUCCAGCCAUGCCGCGUGUGUGAAGAAGGCCUUCGGGUUGUAAAGCACUUUCAGUGGGGAAGAAAGCCUUGGGGCUAAUACCCUCGAGGAAGGACAUCACCCACAGAAGAAGCACCGGCUAACUCCGUGCCAGCAGCCGCGGUAAUACGGUGGCUGCGAGCGUUAAUCGGAAUUACUGGGCGUAAAGCGCGCGUAGGCGGUCUGAUAAGCCGGUUGUGAAAGCCCCGGGCUCAACCUGGGAACGGCAUCCGGAACUGUCAGGCUAGAGUGCAGGAGAGGAAGGUAGAAUUCCCGGUGUAGCGGUGAAAUGCGUAGAGAUCGGGAGGAAUACCAGUGGCGAAGGCGGCCUUCUGGACUGACACUGACGCUGAGGUGCGAAAGCGUGGGUAGCAAACAGGAUUAGAUACCCGUGUAGUC
RNAcentral lists this ribosomal RNA (465 nucleotides) under Vreelandella stevensii. RNAcentral's name for it is "partial 16S ribosomal RNA". It matches the Rfam family "Bacterial small subunit ribosomal RNA", at positions 338 to 795 of the family's 1533-position model. Lineage: Bacteria; Pseudomonadati; Pseudomonadota; Gammaproteobacteria; Oceanospirillales; Halomonadaceae. The record is from RNAcentral.